Molecule: small RNA, 28 nt
Filed under: Bombyx mori (domestic silkworm)
Lineage: Eukaryota; Metazoa; Arthropoda; Insecta; Lepidoptera; Bombycidae
Description: ovarian small RNA-35632
Source: RNAcentral
UGUCAUCGCCCGUGAACUUUGGCACAGC